GGCAGGCUUAGCUUAAUCUGCUAGUCGAGCGGGGAAUGUUGCUUCUGUUCUAUCCUAGCGGCGGACGGGUGAGUAAUGCUUAAGAAUCUGCCUAUUACUGGGGGACAACAUUCCGAAAGGAAUGCUGAUACCGCAUACGCCCUACGGGGGAGAUCCGGGGAUCUUCGGACCUUGCGCUAAUAGAUGAUCCUAAUUCGGAUUACCUACUUGGUGGGGUAAAGGCCUACCAAGGCGACGAUCUGUAGCGGGUCUGACAGGAUGAUCCGCCACACUGGGACUGACACACGGCCCAUACUCCUACGGGAGGACUCCUUGGGGAAUAUUGGACAAUGGGCGGAAGCCUGAUCCAGCCAUGCCGCGUGUGUGAAGAAGGCCUUUUGGUUGUAAAGCACUUUUCGCGAGGAUGAGGCUCCUUUAAUUAAUACCUAAAGUGAGUGGACGUUACUCCCUGAAUAAGCCCCGGCUAACUCUGUGCCAUCAACCGCGGUAAUACCCAGGGUGCGAGCGUUCGUCGAAUUUACUGGACGUAAGUCCGUGCGUAAGCGGCUUUUUAAGUCGGAUGUGAAAUCCCUGAGCUUAACUUAAUAAUUGCCUUCCAUACUGAAAAGCUAUAUUAUGGGAGAUGAUGGUAGAACUGGAGGUGUAGUGCUGAAAUGCGUAAAGAUCUGGACGAAUACCUAUGGCGAACGGCAGCCAUCUGGACUAUUACUGACGCUGACGUACAAAAGCAUGGCGAGCAAACAGGAUUAGCAUACCCUGCUAUGCCGUGCCAUAUACCAUGUCUACUAUGCGUUCUGUUCGGUUUUGGCUGCGCAUGCCGCGCCUUAACUAGACCAGCUAGACCGACCUGUGGCAAUACUAAAACGCAAACGAAUUGACGGGCGUCAAAACAAACGGUUGAGCAUGUGGUUUAAUUCGAUGCAACGCGAAGAACCUUACCUGGCCUUGACAUACUAAGAACUUUCCAGAGAUGGAUUGGUGCCUUCGGGAACUUAGAUACAGGUGCUGCAUGGCUGUCGUCAGCUCGUGUCGUGAGAUGUUGGGUUAAGUC
This 1051-nucleotide ribosomal RNA is filed under the name Acinetobacter schindleri. RNAcentral's name for it is "bacterial SSU rRNA". It matches the Rfam family "Bacterial small subunit ribosomal RNA", at positions 41 to 1086 of the family's 1533-position model. Lineage: Bacteria; Pseudomonadati; Pseudomonadota; Gammaproteobacteria; Moraxellales; Moraxellaceae. The record is from RNAcentral.